AAUGAACGCUGGCGACAGGCCUAACACAUGCAAGUCGAACGAGUGGCGGACGGGUGAGUAAUGUCUGGGAAACUGUCUGAUGGCGGGGGAUAACUACUGGAAACGUUAGCUAAUUCCUCAUUCCGUCUGCUGUUCCCCGAUGGGCUUAGCUGGUAGGGGGGGUAAAGGCUCCCCUAGGCGACGAUCCCUAGCUGGUCUGAGAGGAUGACCAGCCACACUGGAACUGAGACACGGUCCAGACGCCUACGAGAGGCAGCAGUGGGGAAUAUUGCACAAUGGGCGCAAGCCGGAUGCAGCCAGGCCGCGUGUAUGAAGAAGGCCUUCGGGUUGUAAAGGACGUUAAGCGGGGAGGCGGUACCCGCAGAAGAAGCACCGGCUAACUCCGUGCCAGCCGCCGCGGUAAUUC
This 406-nucleotide ribosomal RNA is filed under the name uncultured bacterium. RNAcentral's name for it is "partial 16S ribosomal RNA". It matches the Rfam family "Bacterial small subunit ribosomal RNA", at positions 29 to 526 of the family's 1533-position model. The record is from RNAcentral.